UACGUAGGGGGCCAGCGUUGCUCGGAAUUACUGGGCGUAAAGGGUCCGUAGGCGGUGUGGCAAGUCGGGAGUGAAAUCUCUGGGCUUAACUCAGAGGCUGCUUCCGAAACUGCUGUGCUAGAGUGUGAGAGAGGCGAGUGGAAUUGCGGGUGUAGCGGUGAAAUGCGUAGAUAUCGGGAGGAACACCUGUGGCGAAAGCGG
RNAcentral lists this ribosomal RNA (201 nucleotides) under uncultured prokaryote. RNAcentral describes it as "partial 16S ribosomal RNA". It matches the Rfam family "Bacterial small subunit ribosomal RNA", at positions 524 to 724 of the family's 1533-position model. The record is from RNAcentral.